This 253-nucleotide ribosomal RNA is filed under the name uncultured bacterium. RNAcentral describes it as "partial 16S ribosomal RNA". It matches the Rfam family "Bacterial small subunit ribosomal RNA", at positions 524 to 776 of the family's 1533-position model. The record is from RNAcentral.
UACGGAGGGAGCUAGCGUUGUUCGGAAUUACUGGGCGUAAAGCGCACGUAGGCGGCUACUCAAGUCGGGGGUGAAAGCCCGGGGCUCAACCCCGGAACUGCCCUCGAAACUAGGUAGCUAGAAUCUUGGAGAGGCGAGUGGAAUUCCGAGUGUAGAGGUGAAAUUCGUAGAUAUUCGGAAGAACACCAGUGGCGAAGGCGGCUCACUGGACUGGUAUUGACGCUGAUGUGCGAAAGCGUGGGGAGCAAACAGG